RNAcentral lists this long non-coding RNA (258 nucleotides) under Arachis ipaensis. RNAcentral's name for it is "long non-coding RNA (AIPA_LNC001495)". The record is from RNAcentral. Lineage: Eukaryota; Viridiplantae; Streptophyta; Magnoliopsida; Fabales; Fabaceae.
UACGAUCGCUAUAUCUUUUCUUUUUCUUUCUCUCUCCUCUAUAGAAAGAGGGGAUUAUACGUGGCAUGGUAUACCUGAUCGUUUGGUCAACGAGACGUACGUAAGUCGGCAUAGCUCCAUUUAGAAUAUAAAAUUUUUUUCUUUUACUUAGCCCGCCUCUCCCAUGACUUUCCGGACCAACCUGGAUCUGCCCCCAAUCCGCAUUUUGGGAGCAGAGCAUGCAAAAUCGAGCAAUGAAUCUUAUAAAAAUUUCCUCGG